GGCGGCGUGCUUAACACAUGCAAGUCGAGUGCGCGCUUGUAGCAAUACAAGUGGCGCACGGCGCACGGGUGCGUAACACGUGGGUAACCUGCCCUUUGGUGGGGAAUAACCUCGCGAAAGCGAGGCUAAUUCCGCAUAAGAUCCGCAAGGAUGAAAGCCGCAAGGCGCCGAAGGAGGGGCCCGCGCACGAUUAGUUAGUUGGUAGGGUAACGGCCUACCAAGACUAUGAUCGUUAGCUGGUCUGAGAGGAUGGCCAGCCACACUGGAACUGAGACACGGUCCAGACUCCUACGGGAGGCAGCAGUGGGGAAUCUUGCGCAAUGGGCGAAAGCCUGACGCAGCGACGCCGCGUGGGGGAUGAAGCUUCUCGGAGUGUAAACCCCUUUCGACUGGGACGAAUACCUCGCAAGAGGGGUGACGGUACCAGUAGAAGAAGCCCCGGCUAACUACGUGCCAGCAGCCGCGGUAAGACGUAGGGGGCCAGCGUUGUUCGGAAUUACUGGGUGUAAAGGGUCAGUANGCGGUGUA
Molecule: ribosomal RNA, 528 nt
Filed under: uncultured bacterium
Lineage: Bacteria
Description: bacterial SSU rRNA
Rfam family: Bacterial small subunit ribosomal RNA
Source: RNAcentral